GACGAACGCUGGCGGCGUGCCUAAUACAUGCAAGUAGAACGCUGAAGAGAGGAGCUUGCUCUUCUUGGAUGAGUUGCGAACGGGUGAGUAACGCGUAGGUAACCUGCCUUGUAGCGGGGGAUAACUAUUGGAAACGAUAGCUAAUACCGUAUAACAAUGGAUGACACAUGUCAUUUAUUUGAAAGGGGCAAUUGCUCCACUACAAGAUGGACCUGCGUUGUAUUAGCUAGUAGGUGAGGUAAUGGCUCACCUAGGCGACGAUACAUAGCCGACCUGAGAGGGUGAUCGGCCACACUGGGACUGAGACACGGCCCAGACUCCUACGGGAGGCAGCAGUAGGGAAUCUUCGGCAAUGGGGGCAACCCUGACCGAGCAACGCCGCGUGAGUGAAGAAGGUUUUCGGAUCGUAAAGCUCUGUUGUAAGUCAAGAACGGGUGUGAGAGUGGAAAGUUCACACUGUGACGGUAGCUUACCAGAAAGGGACGGCUAACUACGUG
This 497-nucleotide ribosomal RNA is filed under the name uncultured bacterium. Its description in RNAcentral is "partial 16S ribosomal RNA". It matches the Rfam family "Bacterial small subunit ribosomal RNA", at positions 28 to 507 of the family's 1533-position model. The record is from RNAcentral.